UUUACUUUGAAAAAAUUGGAGUGCUCAAAUCAGGCCCAAUGCCUGAACAGAUGUGCAUGGAAUAAUGGAAAAGGACUUCGGUUCUAUUUUGUUGGUUUUCGGAACAUGAAGUAAUGAUUAAGAGGGACAGACGGGGGCAUUCGUAUUGCGGUGGGAGAGGUGAAAUUCUUGGAUCAUCGCAAGACGCCCUACAGCGAAAGCAUUUGCCAAGAAUGUUUCCAUUAAUCAAGAACGAAAGUCAGAGGUUCGAAGACGAUCAGAUACCGUCCUAGUUCUGACCAUAAACGAUGCCAACUGGCAAUCCGUUGCGAUUGCAAGUUCGAUCCAACGGGCAGCCUCCGGGAAACCAAAGUCUUUGGGUUCCGGGGGAAGUAUGGUUGCAAAGCUGAAACUUAAAGGAAUUGACGGAAAGGCACCACAAGGAGUGGAGCCUGCGCUUAAUUUGACUCAACACGGGAAAACUCACCCGGCCCGGACACUGUGAGGAUUGACAGAUUGAAAGCUCUUUCUUGAUUCGGUGGGUGGUGGUGCAUGGCCGUUCUUAGUUGGUGGAGCGAUUUGUCUGGUUAAUUCCGAUAACGAACGAGACUCUAGCCUACUAAAUAGUACACUCAUCCUUGUUGUGUGAGUGCCGACUUCUUAGGGGGACAAGUGGCAUUCAAGCCAUACGAAAUUGAGCAAUAACAGGUCUGUGAUGCCCUUAGAUGUCCGGGGGCGCACGCGCGCUACACUGAUAGCGUAACGAGUUACUCUCCUGAUCCGCAAGGGUCGGGCAACCUGUUGAAACCUAUUCGUGACAGGGAUCGGGGCUUGUAAUUAUUCCCCGUGAACGAGGAAUUCCUAGUAAGCCA
This 851-nucleotide ribosomal RNA is filed under the name Pseudostylochus obsuculus. Its description in RNAcentral is "SSU rRNA". It matches the Rfam family "Eukaryotic small subunit ribosomal RNA", at positions 751 to 1624 of the family's 1831-position model. Lineage: Eukaryota; Metazoa; Platyhelminthes; Polycladida; Callioplanidae. The record is from RNAcentral.